This is a long non-coding RNA of Numida meleagris (helmeted guineafowl), 12276 nucleotides long. RefSeq lists it as uncharacterized. Lineage: Eukaryota; Metazoa; Chordata; Aves; Galliformes; Numididae. The record is from RefSeq and is a predicted model, not a curated record. The transcript has 3 exons.
UACAAAAUUAGAAUCAUCUGCAGGAUUUCACAGUAAUUCAUUUAAUUUCCUGUUUUCUGUGUUAUUUGACUUCUGUAGUACGACUGUUAAGAGAGGGAAAAAGUAUCAACUGUUUUUCUUUGAAGAUGGUACAGGAAGCUCAGGAAACUUAAAUUUCAAAGAUUUGCCAGUUCAUAAGGGGAAUAUAUUUUACUCAAUCCAUCUACAUUCCAAGUAGUGAACUGACUCUUAACAAAGCCAUGGUGACCAACAGCCACAGUCUGAUUUUUUUUUUUUAAAGGAAAGAAAUAAUGUUCUUUCCGUAUGUUGAGGGCCAGGAAAAAAACAAUAUGUGAGACGAUUGUGUAACAGUUUCAGAAAGUAGGCACCUGCUACCUUCAGUGCAUCAAAAUAGUUGAGGUUUUACCUCUUCCCCUGCCACUUGCUCCCAGUCCUACCUUCACCGCAAUGUAAAGAUCAGGUCUUCACCAGUGAGUUUUAUCAAAGCACUGCAACAGUUUUUCUUCCCCCACCCCAGCUCUAGAGCCAGAAACCUUCAUUGCAAGGAAGUACAAGUAUGUUGCUAGGGAGCAGUGAAGCCAUCGUGUCAGGUUUGGCCUCUGAAAUACACGAAAGGGCUUUAGCUUGCAGAGAACUUCAGCAGUUCUGCCAUGUCCAUGUGGAGUUCUUGGGGCCUGUACAAAACAUAGUCUCACCCCAUAUAAUGUGAAAUUGGGAUUCCAGUAACAUGCCUUCCUCUGGCUUCUGGAAUGCCUCAAAAAGGAGGCAAUAUAAAUUCAGUAAGAUGGACAGGACAUAAACUAAUCCUGAUGGAAACAUUCAUAUCGAUUUCCCUUAAGGGCUGGAUCAAUUAGAUGUCCAUGAUACACGUGACUUUAUUUCUGCAUUACCUGGCACCAGGGUCUCAUAACACUCACAGUUUUGUGAUCCACGUUUCAGAGUUCGGAGGUAAGAGUAUGAGCACCAUUUUGCAAAUGUCAUUCAGCUCCCCUCCAUCUGCAGAACAGUUUCAGCAAUCAUCCUCUCUAAGUAAAGAAAACCUUUCAGGAGCUAAGUCAGGUAUUACUCAUUAUUAUCACAACUUGGGAUGUGAAGGAAAGCCCUAGCUGCCCUUUUCAACAAAUGCCAAACUCUUAGUCAAAACACAUCCUUUCAGUGUGGGCCUUGUCUUUGAUCUUGGGGAAGAAAAGCAGCCAAAGAAUAGGAAGUCUCCUCAGAGAACAGCUGUUAUCUAACCUCAAAGACAAAAGCUUCAGAAAGGCAUUAAUGAGCUCAUUAGCAAAUAAAUUGCAUGCAGCUACAGACAAUAGCAAUAUCUGAUUUCAGGAACUGAAACCAUUUUAUUCCUCUCUUAUUUGUAGGCCAGAUCCCUUGAGCUGUCUACCACUCUACAAGGCAUCCAGGGCCUUCUAGGACCAAGCUGUAAUUGUAUGGCCGAAGCAUAGACCUAGCACAUGCCGAUGAAAUAUAAUUUCAAGAAAGUUGCUAGACUGAGUCAGAUAAGAUACAAGCGUCUCAGUACUGAAAACCCAAAAGAAAUACUGUGACAGAGUCGGAGAGUUUCUAAAACUUGGAGAAGAGUCCUGAGUUCAUUUCUGCUUGUGUUGGAACUGACCAGCUGGAAAACCAGCCCUCCCAGUUUUAGUUUCCAUGGUGGUGGGACCACCACAGCAUUGCAAAGAGGUCCCAGGAAUUAAAUAUUCUCCAUAUUAAGAGUAUAGCGACAUACUUCUGAUUGAGUUUGUCACACUUCAACAUCUGGCCAUUUAAUCCAAUUAUACCAUUUUCUGCCAGCAUGAUGGAACUUAAUAUCCUAUAUCUGUGUCCCUGCAAGUACUCUUAAGCAGUUAUCAACGAACAUCCAAGCCACUUGUUUUUGUUGAACUGCACAGAUUGAGCUCCCACAGUCCUUUACUAGAAAGCAUAUUUUGAUCUAUUAAUAAUUUGCUGAUUCUGCUAUGACAGCCCCUAGUUCACCAGCAUCUUUCUUGAACUGUGGGCAUCAGGAAACAACUGAGCAGUCCAGGAUUUGCACUGACAUCAAGCAGACAUGCAGCAACAUCCUUGCAACUGAUUGUAGAAGAAUUUUCACAUUCUCCUUUUGCCUUUGUGGGUCCCGUGUCCCACAGGGAAUUCACAGUCACCCAGGUAUCUGUUGAACCCCUCAUCCUUCCUAGAACUGCUGGGAUGAGCUCCCCUAUCCUGCAAGCCUACGCUCUACACUGCAUUCUUCAAUGGAUCAUUUGCCAUUUAUCUGCAUUCUAAUGUAGUCUGCUUACCCUACACAGCCAGCAUGUCUACAUAUCUUUAUUUUGCACUCCUUUCCAUUUGGGAGUAUUUUUUACCAUCUGUGCUGCUAACAGGCAGUGUGAUAAAUACAAAAAAAGUAUCAGUUAUUCAGUCCAGGAACAGCAGGGAGAGUGACUACUCUUCAGCUCCCUCCUUUCCUCCUUUCUUUUGCUGUCUCUAGUAGCUGCUGCCAUUUUGGCUGAACAUAAGGACUAUUACAAAAGAGGACAGAGCAUGGCAAUGCAAAUUGAGAAAACAGUACUCUGGAUCACAUCAAAUGUGGACACAAGCAUAUGGAAUCUGCUCCAGAGCCUCUCCCCCGCACUCACCUCUGUGAAGACCAUGAGGGAGGCUAUGGAUGGACAUGGGAAUGGUGGCAUUAGCCAACUGCAGCAUUUCAGUUUCCUUCCUCCGCAGCCACACAGGAACACCUAAGGUCAUUUUAAGCUAUCAGAUUAUCCCCGGCAGCCCAGUAUAACAUGGCCUAAACACUGCCGUGCUCAUCCAGGCUUACUAGCAGGCUCUACAUUGCUAUUGCUGUGCUCACAACAUCCAAGCCCAUCCCUGCAACUGGCAUGCUCUCAACUGUAUAUUAAAUAUUCAAAGGACAUUCCAAAUUGAGUAAUGUUUUGUUUUCAAAGGUGCGAAACAUCUUGCAGAAUUAGAGCCUGUGUGAUAUACAUCUAUGUAUUUUUUUCAUUUGCCUUUUUUCUAACAAAGGAAUUAAUGUCUGCAUGAAUAUAAGAAUUACAGAAAGCAGAACCAGUUGUGUGAACUCGCUCAAGUCUCUUCAGUUUUCAGAGAGUUGGAGACUGUUAUAUUCUUAUCAGAAUUCUUCCAAAAGCCAUCUUUGCUUUGCUUCUUUCAGAAAGCUACUACCCCUGUGUGCUUAAAAUGAUCCCAUGGAUGUGUUGUUCAUCUGAGCUAAUUAAAGCCUGUAGACUAACAGGCACAUUUUGCUCCUCCUCAACAAAUGCUGAAGAAGAGUUAUAUGCAAACAUGUGUAAGAAAUUUUGGGGUUAUAUUAUGAUAGCUUCAUCUGCGUAAAAGGGAUAGCUCUGAGCUGGUACACAAUGCAAACUAAUUUUAAACAUUGUUUUUUAUUUUGAUUUCUCCACAAUAACAAUUUAAAUUACAGGAAGUGCGAAGGAGUAACACUUUUAAAAAUCUUUUUAGUCCUACAGAAAUGUUAAUAUUUAAUAGGUCAAUGUUAACAAUUGUUUUAUUAACUCUUCCAAAUAUUUUCUGCCCAGCUCUUGCCAUAGGAUUUUUUUUUAAAUUAAAAUCUCUUGCAGAUACAUUUGAAGAAUGCUGGCCAGGCAUUUAUUGUAUCUCGACCUUCAAAAUCUCCAUUGACUGGCUGACUAGAUGCAUGGCUUUGAAAACUCUUCUUAUUCUGUGUAAUGAUCUAUUGAGUAAGCAAAUAAAAUAACUGAGAAAUCUAGUCUGGAAAGUGUAUCCUUAUGAACUAUUCUCAUUUUUCACGCCUGUCACUGCCUUCAUAGAAUACUAAUGUAAGAUUGCAACAGUUUGAGAGGAAAUACAUGUGAGGCUAUUUUAACAGACAAGCCCAGAAUGCUGCACAGCCACAUUUCUGUUGAGAUUUAUGAAAACUGCUCCUUAAUUUUUCUUGUGUUUAGAUACUGGCCUGCCUACAAUCAUGUAUCUAUCUGCUGUUAUCUACAGUUUGCCCUGUGGGCUGCAGUCCCUUUCAAAAGUAAAGUGCUGUUCUCUAUGUGGAGCAUGGAUCAGCAAAGGCUGUUCUCAUUGUUUAUAUAAAGACCAAACUGAAAUGAAAUGUCUGUGUAACAAAUCAGAUUUAUAGGCAGGUGGAUAAGCUAGGCAAAUAGAUGAACUGGAUAGUGAUACAGUCCCAGCUGACAUAUGUUGAAUCAAUAUUAAAAUAGCUGUGUUAAACCACAAGGUUUUUACACUGUAUAUGCUGACAGGAGAUAAUGGGUGGAAAAUGAAAGUAAGCAUUUUUCAAAGCAAGCUAAUGAGACAGUUUCUUCAAUGAUGAUCUCAAUAAGACAAAGACAUUGUAUGCUGAAGCAGACAGCACUCUCUAUUUAAGAACACACAGUAGUGGUGCAGGUCUUCCAGGUUAUCCUGUAAAUCUGGAAUGACAGGUAAAAAGCAUUGGAUGAAGGGAGGCUAAUGCACAGAAAAUCCUGUUGCUUCCAGUGCUGAGAGUAACUGCUGUGGUUAGAGGUGGUUUUCCCUCUGCCCUGGCUGAAUGUCAAGGGUUGAGAGAGGGGGAUUGAAAGAGGUGCCCCAGUACAGACAGGGUUGCUUGGCACCAGGUGUGGGAGGGAGAUGCGCUGCCACGUAACAAUGCCGAUACCACUACAAGCUCUUACCUAUCUGGGGAAAGUAUCUCAUUGUCUUAGUUUCAGCUGGGACAGAACUGUUUUCUUCAGAGAGUCUGGUAUGAUGCUAUGUUUUGAUUCUGGGAGAAAAACAAUGUUGAUAACACACCAAUGUUUAUAGCUGCUGGCAAGCAGUGUUAUACAGAGCCAUUCUCAGGAAAGGGCCCAGGGAGCUGGAAGGGAACGGAAUUAGAAUAGCUGACUUAAAUUGGCCAAAAGGAUAUUCCAUACCAUAUGACAUCAAGCAGAAGGAGUUUUGAAGGGGAUGGGAGUUCAUCUGGCUCUCUUCCACUGCUGAGCAUCAGUUGGGGGUGAUGAGCAAUUGCUUGUGCAUCACUUGUUAUAUACACUCAUAUAUAGUUAUUGUCACAGCUUUAAUCCUUUUCCUCUUCUCUAUCUUAGUAAAUAGUUUUACCUCAACCCACGAGUUCUACUUUUUUUUUCCCCGAUUCUCUCCCCCAUCUCACUGGGAAGCAGAGGGAGUGAAUGGCUACGUGGUUCUGAGCCACCUGCUGGGUUAAACCACAACACUCUUCUAAUGAGAAUCUCCUGCUGGUACUAUAUUAUUCACAACGUCUGCAAGGCUGGGGUCCUUUUGCACUAGGCUGUAGCAAAUUACAGUCCCAGGGAUUUACGGCCCUCUCCUGUUGUCCUCAAGAGCAACUGUCUGGUGUCAGUAGGAAUGGUAGCAUAUUUUGCCAUAUCAAAGCAUGAUGUCCUUUGUUGUACAGCUCUCUGGUAGUAAUGCAUUGCCUGAAACUUGUUGUCAGUAAGGUAGGACAAAUCUGUGAUGAGAAAUAAUGUAAUCAGUGGCUAUGCUAAGGUAAAAUUAAAAGCUAAGGGGCAGAGCAAGAAGCAGUAGAUAUCUGAAGAUAACCUUAAAAUAUUGUGAAUGCUUUUCCAUUGGCUUAAUAGGACAUAUUGAAUAUCACAUUUUUUCUAGGGUAAAAAAAAGAAAUAGAAAAAAAAAACACAGGAACAAACAAAAUACAAUAAGCCAUAGGUCAUAAUGAAUAGUUAUUUUGAUUUGUAGUGCACAAGCAGAAUUUGUUAUCCAUCAUCUUAACCACACAAAUCCAACACUGGGCAAGUUAUUCCCCAUUUUCCCUUGCCCCAGGAACAGAAAUCAGAUUUAAAAACAGACCCACAUUGCCAUUUAGGUAUUCUACAGACAUCUGGUGGUGAUCAGAGGCCUCUGUGCCAGUUAGUCCAGCUCAUAGUUGGAUUAGUUCUAAGGAAAAUAAAUAUCUUCCACGGCUAUUGGACUGUUGAAUGCAGGAAGCUGGCUGGGAACAAGGAAUAUUCUUAUUAAAUUAUCUCCUGUGUUAUCAGCUGGCUGUGCCACACAAAAGGGACAAAUGUCACAAUGCCGUGGCUCUAGAAGAGUGUGGUGGCUUCAGAUGCCUUCAUGUGGGCUUAAGCAUUCAGCAAGUGGCACACCACAGAGCAAUUGAUAGUGCAGAAACCACUCCUCCUGCACACCAUUAUGCUUAUGUAACCUUUCUACACCACAGCACUGCAGAGUCUGGAGAUAAUUCUGGAUCUAAGAAAAUCGGGGAGACUUAGGAAGACCAAAACAGAGCUCAGUGCAUGAAGGACAAUCAUCACCCACAGGAGAAGCAGAUUUCUGAGGCCAGCCAGAGAGAAGAUUACUAUGCUUGAAAGAGCCAAGCCUGCAGUGGAUGAACUUGAAUGCUGAGCUAUGAGAACUACCUACCUACAGCUGCCAGAUUUGAAUAUCUUCUCUGGAUUACACAUCUUGGAGCAAAACAUCUGAAUGAGCAGAGAAGAUGGGAUCUCCACACUGUGCAGUUAUCAACAGUUAUCUCAAAGGUGCUUUAGUACUGCUAAAGCAAAAGCUUAAGAUCAACUUUGUGAAAUGCUGAGGAUUUCUCAGAUCUGUUUUUAUUCUGUUAGGGUAGAAUGAAUACAGGGGUGGACUUGAAAGGCCUUCUUAGUUUACAGUGUCAGUCUUAGUCCCUGUAUGACCUUCUAGAAAGAAGCUCAGAGUUGCUACAGAUGAUGUAAAAUGUCCACAUGACAGCAAAUGAAGUAAAAAAGCAGCUGAGUAUUUAGAUGAGGUGGAAGAAAAUGGGGAAUUACUGUUGACUUUGCUGAGGUAGCCACCUGGGACUUCAUCUAGACAAUAAGCAAUGCCAAGAGGAAAUUUCAGCAGAAGAGGCAUGCACUCACUUUCUCAAGGCAUCUUGAUUAUGUGACAAUAUGAGACUACUAUUUUUCAGUCUAUUUCACACUGGGGAAGCUCUUUAGUACAGUACAGACAAAUAAGGUACAGCAUGCAGAGUCAGUGAGAAAUCCAAGCAUAACUGAGAGAAGGACAUAGACUAAUGUAGGUGACUUACUGUGCACAGGUGUAUGUUUGUCUUCCUAUUACAAUUUCCAAACUGUGAGGUCAUGAAACAGCUGGUUAACUCAAGAGGUGAAAAUACUUAAAUGCUGGUGUUGAUCAAAAAGAUUGUCAUGUAGCCUUGUUGACUGAGGAGGCUCUUUGUGCCUUGUAAAAUCUUAAGACUUUUAUUUUUGACUGUGUCUAUGCAGGGUUUUAACAACAUGAGAGCUAAUUAGAAGCAAAUAUGGAUAUUUUCUCCAUCUGCUCAUAUUUUAAAAACACAGUUCUUCAAGCCAAGCAUGCUGAAUUUGCAGUAGGUUUUACUCUCUGCUAGGUACAGUACAAUUUGGCUAAAGCCCUAGGGAGAAGGUAUGCAGGAGGCAGUGAAAUUGAUAUAGCACUGAUCUCGAAGCCCAGUGCUCCUUACAGCAAGAUGAAUGGCAGGUUAAAUCCUGCUAUUGCAAGGGUGGAAAUUGAGCAUCUCUGCUGCAGGAGGGAAUGGGGAGCUCUCAGCUGGGGACGACAGGAUGCAGGGGGUACAGGAAGAGGACUAAUGCAGGGCUCUGCAGUCACAGCCAGGCAGGACAGGACACCACCAGGAGAUCUGCCACCUCACCUUCUUCUGCUGCCAAAGGACUUGCUAGUGCCAUGUUUUAUAAACUCUCUGCAAUGGCAUCCAAAGCAGCCCUGACUUAAACAGGAGUAUUUCCUUUUCCUUAGUUCAGCAUCCUAUUAGGUUAACUAGACUGGAAAGAUAGUAUUGUCCUGACAAAUACAGACCUGUAUUUCUGUAAGAGCAAUGAUAAGGGUUUAUAAUGCAAAGGCAUAUACUUAAGAUCACCUCAUAAAAACACUUUGGUUCCCUUUUCAGUUAGUGUUAACUUUCCAGAAUUUUUUAAAUUGCUGAUGUUCGAGAAGUAUGAUGCUCUUGCCCGAGGCAGGGACACAGCUGAAUGGUUUUGUUUAGGAGGAAGCAAAGGGUUUUUGUCAGAAAAUGCUGAGUGUUUAUACAACAGUCAGCCCUGCUCAGAUUGCACAUCUGGUUUUUCAGAUACUGGCAGAAAUGCUGUCAUAACAUCAAAAUUUUGUCCCAAGGAAAAAAAAAAUACAAGCCCCAAAGCUAGUCAUUACCCCCAUCUGGAGGAAAGCAGCUGCCUGAACCAAUCAACUUUUCUGAGGUCAGGAGUCCCUUCCAAUCCAGACCUGUGCAGCUUUGUUCAUAUGUAGGGCAUGGCACAGAUCACUGCAAACUUGAGAGUCUCCAGAGUGUGAGGAAGUGAUCAGGUAGACAGCAAGGAAUUGAAAAUAUUGGCUGGGAGAACCUGGAGAGCCAGGGACUGUCAGCUUCAGUUGUGAUGUCAUUUGUGGCUUAACUAGGUAACGAGUAAGCAAGCAUUGCUGCCAGUAAAUAACAAGAAAUAACUUCUAAUUGCUCUCAAAGAUCUCUGGUUUCCAAAGGAUUUCAGCGGCAGGGGAGCUUCUGUGUUCCCCAAGCAGAUGUCUUUGUACUUGAAGUUGGGAGGCAAACUGAGAAGCUGGAAGACUGUAGGAGAGACAGGGGUCAGAGAUGCUGCUUUCAUUCCCCAGGAGAAAGUCUACAGAACAGCGCAAGAAACUGUCAUGGUUAUCAUCUCAGCAAUGUGUAAUAGAUUCUGAAGAUCUGAUGUCAUCUUGCCUGGCAUAUGUUACUCCCGCAAAUAAGCUGUUGUGCUGAAUAAUGUACCAUCUGUAUAUUUCGAAGGUCCUCCUAGAAUUGUGAAGACAUAUCACAUCAUGCUUUAAUGGUGUGCUGCACGAACCAGGAUUUUUGUCCUUUAGUGUACAGCUUCCAAAUCUGAUGCUACCAACUGAAAUAAAAUCCUCAGCUCACCUUCUCUUCUCUAGAGCACACUGCUCUCCUUAUCAAACCCUGAAAAUAUGUGCUGGGAAAAGCCUACUGCAAUGAUCAGUUGAAGAAAGAAAUUGUGCUUGCUUGUAUACGCCCACAUGUGCUGUAACACUUGAGGUGGGUUUUUUUAAGUGAUGUUUUUGCUUGCAUGUGGUGCUUGAGGGUGUAGGACAGGUUGGUAGGUUAAGUAGGAAGAAAAUGCAGCAGCGAGUUUCAGCGAGUUUCAGCCUUCCACAGGAAACUCACCAGAAAGAGAUUAAAACUCCAAAUGGUCUUCUUGUAGGGGUUCAAAUGUCACUCAAAGAAAGCCUCCCUCAGAAUACUGUGCAGAACUAGAUCACAUCACAAAAAAGGAUGUGGAACCACUACCUUUGAGGCCUUUGAGUCAUCAGCAACAGGCCUUCUUUGAGUGAGGAGACAGACAAGACAUCUCUGACAGCCACUUCUAGCCAGCACUAUGGUGAUGCUGUGUGCUGGAAGAGUCUGACUCCCAUGGUCCUGCAGGGUGCAGCCCAUGGCCUGGGAGGGAGGAGGGAAGGAAAGAGUGUCCAGAGUACAAAGGGUAGUACCACAGUUCUCCUGUUCCCCAUUUAGGUAAUGAUCUCUCCACCUCUUAGAGAAACUUGUGUAACAUCUUUUCCUGAAGAAAUGCAAUAAUGAGGGCACAUAAAAAAGUGCUCUCCAAUUACUAGUGAACAGGAGGAUCAGCUAUAAUGAACCGCUUUCACUUUUCAGCUUUAAUCCUCUUGCAUGCAUGUUACCUGCAUUGUGUGUUUAACUGAUUCAAUUUUAAAGACUUCCUAGCUAUUACACUGAAGUUUGAUCACCAUUGUGGUUUCUGGUGUAGAGUUAGCAAAACAUUAUUUUUUUCUGGAUCUCAUUUGGGAAAACACUGUGAACAGAUGGUUUACUAUCCAGGUUUUACAAGUGAUUCAAACAGGAGCAGGCACCCUGCAUGCUGCAAACAUUUACAGAGGUUAAGCAUAAUCAAUCCCUGCUAGUCCCUGCCAGCUGCAUUAAUUAUGUUAGUGGUGAGUAUGGGGAAAGAGCCUAAGGAAAUAUAGUUUUAUGAACAUAUUACAUUAUUUUAUGCAGUAUUUAUAAUUGCAGCUGAAGAGCUGACAUAGAUGAAAGAGUCUCAUGUCUAGAGCAGAGAAUUUAAUUUUCAUGUUAGAUUAUUUACUGAUACUGGUGACUAUCAAAAUAAAUUUUUUGUUUCAUUUUACCCUGCAAUGGGAAGGGCUUUUACAACAGUUGCUGGUGAGAGGUACUUUAUUUGGAAUGUUUUUUAUUAUUUCUGAUCAAUUAGUAGAGAGGGAGAAGUAAUGGCAAGAUUUUGUUUGCACAGUAGUUCUCUGGGGCAACUGAAAAGAUAGUUUUAGUAUUCUUACUUUGGCCCUACACCAGCUGAACUUUAUCUAUCUCUGCUCAGUCUCCUUGAGCAAGACUCUGAGAGAUAUACUGUUCAAGAUUUAUAAAGCACAACGCCUGUUUGCUGAUAAGAAAAAUUAGGACUCAUCUUCGACUACACCUGAAGUGCAAGCCAACAAGAAGGUCUGUCUUUGUUCAACAAUUUAUAGUGUAUUUGUUUUCUAGUUACAGUUUUCAAGUUCAGUAAGAGCUGUACAUUGGCAGAGAUCAACAGCCAGGAGAACGUGCAGCCUGGUAAUUUUCUUGCAUGCUUGUUCAAAGUGAAAUGUCUAAUGAGUUGCACACUUUCCCUCACAGGGGAAAUAUUUCCAUUGCUGAAAAUAUUGAAGAGCUUUAUUCUCAGUCUAUUAAAAUCAAUAUAAUGAUUCAUUUACUAGCCCAAACAGAGCUGUGCAAAAAUCACUACUACUCAUGAAUAUAUAAGGUAUAAGCUCUAUUCACUAGUCUAUAGGGAAACUGACCUGCAGGAAAAGAUUUCAUGUUAAAUAAAUGCCACUAAGAGCACCCAUGCUAUAAAUGGAGUUAUAAAGUCAGAAUUUGAUUUUGUCACACAAUCUUUACAGUGCAUUUUUUAAAUUUAGCCAUGGGUGUUAGUGCCUAUAAAAUGUUCUAUGGGUGGCAUAUGGAUAAUUUAUAGAGUUAGUGGUUCAGGAGGAAAUACGUUUUUUUUCUAAGGCAGUACCCUUUGGUUUACUUCUAGGACAUAAAACCCAUGGCCUGAUCAGCUGGCCCCAUCUACAUAUAAAAGUGGAUCUUUGUUUAACAUGCACUGAAUUUUAAUAUGACUGAAAACAUGACUUCUGGAAUCUGAAGAGAAGCAGAGUGCGAUAAUUGCUUGUAUUAUGACAGCCAGCAUUUUGUUUCCUGGGAAAAUUUGCAGCCACCGUGCUCAAGGCUUGCUGAGAACUCAGAAUAGUUGUUAUGACAAGGCAUCAUCAGGAUUGGCACUUCCACAGCAACCAAAGUUCUGCUGUUCUUUCCAAAGCCUUAAAUACUUUUAAAUAUCUUCUGGGGAAAAAAAAAAAAAAAACAAAAAAAAAACCUACCACCACAACAAAAAAACACAGCUCUGCCUCAUGCACUUGACUUCUCAGAGAAGUCACAAAUAUGUUCAGUUUUGGAUGAAGGAAGAGGUUUGGAAAGGAAGGAAAAUAAAAUUCACUUAUCCUCUAGAAAAACUAAUUUCAUUUGAAGAAAUUAAAAGGACAAGUAUUAACUUAUUAUGAAGUAACAAGAUAAAUGCUUCCAUCAAGACAUAAUCCUUUUAUUUCUUUGCCUGAAUCACUUUGUCAGCAGCCCUGGGUAAUUCUUACCAUUAAAUAUUCUUGAGAAAAGAAUUAAUGUACCAAUUCAAUAGAGAACAAAUGGUUUAGAAUGCAUACCUGUGCCACAGUUCUGGCCUGGUUCAGCCCUUUUAAGCAAUCAAACAAAAUUUCAACUGUCCAGUACUCACAGUACCUUUGCUUUGUGCUGAGGUAUUUGAAUAAAAAUAACACUUUUAACACAAAGUGCUAUAGCACACCUUGGAAAACAUGGACACUGGCAUUACAUCUAGUUUGACUUUUAGAGGUGAGCAGGUCCUCGUGCAGGAUUCUUUCUUCAUAUUUACAGCUCCCAGAAUGGUAGCCCUCUUUAGCCCUUGCAUUGUAAUUUCUGUGUAGCAAUAGUGCAUGCUAGUUCAGUGUAUACAGUUCAGAUAGGGUUAAAGUGAUUCCACCAGCAGCUAGGCCCUCUGUGGGCUCCAUGCAAGUCAGUCUCCCAGGUGCUGCAGCUGCACAUCAUGCUAGGAGACAGAGAAGUCAACCUCAGGAAAACCUUCUCACAGUACCGGGCUGAUAGCUCCUUUGGCUCAGAAAGAUGUAACCAAGCACAAAAGACUGUUCUUUGUCCUGUUUCAAUGUAAAAGCACAUUAUAGAAGAGGUUUUAAAACACAAAUACAGUGUAGGGU